UACGGGGGGGGCAAGCGUUGUUCGGAAUUACUGGGCGUAAAGGGCGCGUAGGCGGCCUGCUAAGUCGGAUGUGAAAUCCCUCGGCUCAACCGAGGAACUGCAUCCGAUACUGGCGGGCUUGAAUCCGGGAGAGGGAUGUGGAAUUCCAGGUGUAGCGGUGAAAUGCGUAGAUAUCGAGAGGAACACCUGCGGCGAAGGCGGGUUGCUGGGCUGACACUGACGCUGAAGCGCGAAAGCUAGGGGAGCGAACGGG
Molecule: ribosomal RNA, 253 nt
Filed under: uncultured bacterium
Lineage: Bacteria
Description: partial 16S ribosomal RNA
Rfam family: Bacterial small subunit ribosomal RNA
Source: RNAcentral